UACGGAGGUGGCCAGCGUUGUUCGGAAUUAUUGGGCGUAAAGGGCGCGUAGGUGGCCAUGCAAGUCGGAGGUGAAAUCCCUCGGCUCAACUGAGGAACUGCCUCCGAUACUGCAUGGCUUGAGUCCCGGAGAGGGUGGUGGAAUUCCCAGUGUAGCGGUGAAAUGCGUAGAUAUCAGGAAGAACACCCGUGGCGAAAGCGGCUCUCUGGAACGGUACUGACGCUGAGACGCGAAAGCGUGGGGAGCGAACAGG
Molecule: ribosomal RNA, 253 nt
Filed under: uncultured bacterium
Lineage: Bacteria
Description: partial 16S ribosomal RNA
Rfam family: Bacterial small subunit ribosomal RNA
Source: RNAcentral